Molecule: long non-coding RNA, 896 nt
Filed under: Marmota monax (woodchuck)
Lineage: Eukaryota; Metazoa; Chordata; Mammalia; Rodentia; Sciuridae
Source: RNAcentral
UCUUUGACUUCUCCAUAGUGGCUGGUUUCACGCAGGAGAUUCUCAAAGGUAUUUCUGAAGACAGCCAGCCAGCAUGCAGGGAGCUGGAGAGGCCAGGGUUCGCCUUCUUUUCUACUGUGAGGGCCUCAUGUUCAAUAGCAGAGCCCAGCCCCCUCCUUCUAGGCUCCCUACCAGGCUUGCAACGUGUGUGCAGUACGGAGCAGACCACUUUAAAGUGAAUCUGUACACUUCUACCCAAAGGAAAAACCUUUUAUGCAGAAAAACAGGUGAUGGGACAACUGGAGAAACAGUCAUUGCUAACCUAAGUGAGUUUCCAGACAGCUGAUCCUACCACCGGGCUGGCUGUCUUUAUCCUGAAAAUGUCAUCCUUCUUUAGUCUGUAAAUAUCAUGCUAUAGAACACCUUAGAGCUGGCUUUGGGAAGAGACGGAGCCAAAGAUGCACAGGCAGUUUUCUGUCAACCAAAGGACAAUGCUUCUUUCUUGGAUUUAAUAAAAAGGGGAGGGGGCUGGGCAGGCUGCUAUGGAGAAAGGAUAAGCAAUAUCCCUCCUGCCAUCGCUUUGUGGCUUCUGUAAUAAAAUGAUGAAAGAGCGCCUUUGUCCUCCCAAACACCGGUCUUACUUGGGCACAUUUGCUUUUUCACUUUCAAAUGCGUGAAUUCUUGGAAUAUGACUGUGGUUUGCCUUUUAAACCUGCACCCAUAGGUUCUGUUAAGGGCUAUGCAGGGUCCUUUUACCUUGCAAUAUCUCCCAAGCCCAGGCCAAAUCCUCUAUUUCACCUUUUCAAAGUCUCACACUCCACUAAGUCAAGAUGUAGUUCAGUUAACUAACACUUUGUCAAAAAUAAAUUCCACCAGAAAUGUAAAGAUUAUCUUUCCUUAAUGUGAAACAUUCUGUA